UGGGGAAUAUUGGACAAUGGGCGCAAGCCUGAUCCAGCCAUGCCGCGUGAGUGACGAAGGUCUUCGGAUUGUAAAGCUCUUUUGGCGGGGACGAUAAUGACGGUACCCGCAGAAUAAGCCCCGGCUAACUUCGUGCCAGCAGCCGCGGUAAUACGAAGGGGGCUAGCGUUGUUCGGAAUUACUGGGCGUAAAGCGCACGUAGGCGGACUGAUAAGUCAGGGGUGAAAUCCCGGGGCUCAACCUCGGAACUGCCUUUGAUACUGUUAGUCUCGAGUCCGGAAGAGGUGAGUGGAAUUCCUAGUGUAGAGGUGAAAUUCGUAGAUAUUAGGAAGAACACCAGUGGCGAAGGCGGCUCACUGGUCCGGUACUGACGCUGAGGUGCGAAAGCGUGGGGAGCAAACAGGAUUAGAUACCCAUGUAGUCCCUGAGCGGGCUGGCAAGGCGCAU
This 447-nucleotide ribosomal RNA is filed under the name uncultured bacterium. RNAcentral describes it as "bacterial SSU rRNA". It matches the Rfam family "Bacterial small subunit ribosomal RNA", at positions 355 to 825 of the family's 1533-position model. The record is from RNAcentral.